CUACAGUGUAUUCAGCAGAACAAGAUCCCGCUUUAAGGCUCAUUUCACGCGGCGGCGAGGCAGAUCAGGACAGGAGCACUCCUGAUUAAACCCAUGGGCUGUUCUGCAGCUGAACACACAGAGAUCCAGUUUCUUUUGUUACCUGUGGGUAUGUUUCCAUGCGGGCUCAGAUCUAGUCAGAAUGGAUCACUCGUAUCCUGAAGAAAAGAAGUGAAACAAGAGACAUUAUUUUGAUGGGGUCUAGCAGAAACUCAAUCUGCAGUGGACCCCUGUUGGUUCUGCAUGAACGAGGACUGAGGGUGGAAGGGCACGGUUUCCCGCUCAUUAGGCUGUACCUAAGAGACUGUUUUACCAUCCUCUCCUCCCCCCUUCUCUCUCGUCUGCUUCCCUUAGAGAUAAUAGUUAACGUUUCUGUAUCGCCAUCCAGCUCAAUGUACAGUAGCAACUACAGAGACACACCUGGACGAAUGACUCCACUCACUGAUCAGUGUAGCACAGCCACCACUGGGGGGUGGCGGGGAGACAAGGCAGCUGUUUAACUACCUACAGUAACAGCACACACAGGGAGAGACCACCACCCGAUCCACAUGCACUUGCAUUUAGGGAGGCAGGAUCUAAAUAGCCACAUUGAAACUUAGCCAGGACGACAAGGUUAACACACCCAUCUCUUGCCAAAAAAGUGUCAUAGGAGUUGAAACAACUGCAAGUGGUCACAAGUCUCUGUUUUUAUGACUCAUUUGAAGCAUGGCACCCUAUGCAGAGUAGGAUACAUCAGCACCAUGCUAGGACAUAAGUACUGACUCAAUAGGGUGAGACGCUCCUACUAAAUCACCCGCAUUUCCUGCAGCAUCUGAAUUUUCCUUGCAGAUCUUCCACCAAGUAUUGGCUAGGCUCAGCCUCGGAUUACAAAAUCCAAUGAGAUCACAGGUGAGUUAGGAGCAGUCAGCCCCAGAAGGCUGAAUUCGCGCCAGGGAUUUCUCUGUGGGAUUACAACAGCCUGCUCCCUGCUGAUAUGCAGUGUCUCCAAACCACCUGGCUGACACAUUUUGCCAUGCCCAUCACCCACAAUCCUAUGUGCACUGCACGCCACCAAUGGGGUGGGAAUCUUAGCAGAAGGAAGGUGGGCACAUUGGUGAGGCAGACGCCCUUCCCAACAGCCAGCACUGCCUCUAUCACAGGAAACAAAACUGCGUGGCCAUUCCUUAGAGGGGAAGUGACCUACGUUCCUGUCCUUGGGUGUGAACACUCUAGUUCCUCAAUAGGGGAGGGGGAAAGGAGCAACAGAAACAGACUCAGGAGUGAAAACUGUUGGGGGCAGAGAUUGCUUUUUUCAGCCAAGAUGCCCCGCAGUGCACUUGCUGUGCUGGGAAGAUCAAGGCUGGAGGUUGUGCUGUCGGAUCACAACUACGUUUCGCUCCCACCCGCAAACAGGAAGCAGCAGGCAGAUCCUUCCCCAAGGCUGUGGAAAACAUUGCCAGUGAAACAGCAGCAAAAGCAAGGAGUCAGGAGAGGAGAGCUACAGGGAAGAGAGAGUGACUGAAGGUAUCUGCUCGUGCCACAUUUUGUUCUGCUUCGCAGGAGGACCCUGGGGACCUCACUACCACCUGCCCUUAGUGUGAAAAACCAGUGUCUGUGCUGGCCUUGGUUCUGUUCCCCAACAUCACCAGCCUCUGGCAACACAAGCACUCCUCUCUAGGCCUCUGCAGGCCCUGCUCCUUCUUACAGAUUAGCAAUAGUCUCACUCUAACCCCCAAGUCCUCCAAGCAUCUCCAGCCCCUGGGCCACGGGAUACUCACGGACUCCACAGAUCUGCUACUCCCAAAGGACGAAUAGUACACUCCAUUUUACCAGUUCCACCACAGAGCUCCACUUAAAACACAGCACUGAGAUCUGUUUAUAGCAAAAAUAAGUCUACGUUUAUUUAACAAAGAACAGAGACUCAUAUGACAGUAGCAGAAAUACUGGAAAUAAAGGAUUACUGUAUAUACUCCUUCAUAAGGCAAAUAUUUUUAGUAAAACAAGUGAAGUAUCAA
Gopherus flavomarginatus (Mexican gopher tortoise) is the source of this 2033-nucleotide long non-coding RNA. RefSeq lists it as uncharacterized. The transcript has 3 exons. The record is from RefSeq and is a predicted model, not a curated record. NCBI's taxonomy places the organism in Eukaryota, Metazoa, Chordata, Testudines, Testudinidae.